RNAcentral lists this transfer RNA (68 nucleotides) under Cyrtodactylus petani. RNAcentral describes it as "tRNA-Trp". Lineage: Eukaryota; Metazoa; Chordata; Lepidosauria; Squamata; Gekkonidae. The record is from RNAcentral.
AAGUUUAGGUUAGACAAACCAGGGGCCUUCAAAGCCCCAAACAAGAGCAACCCACCCUCCUAACUUCU